CCUACGGGAGGCAGCAGUGGGGGAUAUUGCACAAUGGGGGGAACCCUGAUGCAGCGACGCCGCGUGUGGGAAGACGGUCCUCUGGAUUGUAAACCACUGUCAGCAGGGAAGAACGGUCACUGUGCUAAUCAGCAGUGAAUUGAUGGUACCUGCAAAGGAAGCACCGGCUAACUCCGUGCCAGCAGCCGCGGUGAUUCGGAGGGUGGGAGCGGUAAUGGGGAUUACUGGGCGUAAAGCGCCCGUAGGCGGUAUGUCAAGUCCAGGGUGAAAUCCCCGCGCUCAACGUGGGAACUGCCUUUGAAAGUGGCAAACUGGAGUGUGUGAGAGGAUAGUGGAAUUCCAGGUGUAGGAGGGAAAUCCGUAGAUAUCUGGAGGAACAUCAGUGGCGAAGGCGACUAUCUGGCACAUAACUGACGCUGAGGAGCGAAAGCGUGGGUAGCAAACAGGAUUAGAUACCCCAGUAGUC
Molecule: ribosomal RNA, 466 nt
Filed under: uncultured bacterium
Lineage: Bacteria
Description: partial 16S ribosomal RNA
Rfam family: Bacterial small subunit ribosomal RNA
Source: RNAcentral